Molecule: ribosomal RNA, 357 nt
Filed under: uncultured bacterium
Lineage: Bacteria
Description: partial 16S ribosomal RNA
Rfam family: Bacterial small subunit ribosomal RNA
Source: RNAcentral
CCUACGGGUGGCUGCAGUGAGGAAUAUUGGUCAAUGGACGCAAGUCUGAACCAGCCAUGCCGCGUGCAGGCAGACGGCUCUAUGAGUUGUAAACUGCUUUUGUACGAGGGUAAACGCAGAUACGCGUAUCUGUCUGAAAGUAUCGUAUGAAUAAGGAUCGGCUAACUCCGUGCCAGCAGCCGCGGUAAUACGGAGGAUUAAAGCGUUAUCCGGAUUUAUUGGGUUUAAAGGGGGCGUAGGCUGAGAUGUAAGUCAGCGGUGAAAUGCCCCCGCUCAACGGGGUGAAGUUCCAUUGUUACUGCCUUGCUGGAAUGCGGAUGCCGUGGGGGGAAUGUGUGGUGUAGCGGUAAAAUGCAU